UACAGGGGGUGCAAACGUUGCUCGGAAUCAUUGGGCGUAAAGCGCACGUAGGCGGUCUGUUAUGUCGGAUGUGAAAGCCCUUGGCUCAACUGAGGAAGUGCAUCCGAAACUGGCAGGCUAGAGUACGAAAGAGGAUCGCGGAAUUCCCGGUGUAGAGGUGAAAUUCGUAGAUAUUCGCAAGAACACCAGUGGCGAAGGCGGCUCACUGGCCCGGUACUGACGCUGAGGCACGAAAGCGUGGGGAGCAAACAGG
RNAcentral lists this ribosomal RNA (253 nucleotides) under uncultured bacterium. RNAcentral's name for it is "partial 16S ribosomal RNA". It matches the Rfam family "Bacterial small subunit ribosomal RNA", at positions 524 to 776 of the family's 1533-position model. The record is from RNAcentral.